AUGUCUCAGUACAAGCCGAAUUAAGGUGAAACCGCGAAAGGCUCAUUAANUCAGUUAUGGUUCCUUAGAUCGUACCCACUUUUACUUGGAUAACUGUGGUAAUUCUAGAGCUAAUACAUGCAAACAGAGCUCCGACCGGAGACGGAAGGAGCGCUUUUAUUAGAUCAAAACCAAUCGGUGGCGGGUUCGCUCGUCAUCGUACAACUUGGUGACACUGAAUAACUUUAAGCUGAUCGCACGGUCUAGCACCGGCGACGCAUCUUUCAAAUGUCUGCCUUAUCAACUGUCGAUGGUAGGUUCUGCGCCUACCAUGGUUGUAACGGGUAACGGGGAAUCAGGGUUCGAUUCCGGAGAGGGAGCCUGAGAAACGGCUACCACAUCCAAGGAAGGCAGCAGGCGCGCAAAUUACCCACUCCCGGCACGGGGAGGUAGUGACGAAAAAUAACGAUACGGGACUCAUCCGAGGCCCCGUAAUCGGAAUGAGUACACUCUAAACCCUUUAACGAGGAUCAAUUGGAGGGCAAGUCUGGUGCCAGCAGCCGCGGUAAUUCCAGCUCCAAUAGCGUAUAUUAAAGUUGUUGCGGUUAAAAAGCUCGUAGUCGAAUUUGUGUCCCGCGCCGCCGGUUCAUCGUCCGCGGUGUCAACUGGCGUGUCGCGGGACGUCCUGCCGGUGGGCUUAGCUCUUAGGGGCGACGCCCAACUCAAUCCCGCCGCGGUGCUCUUCACUGAGUGUCGAGGUGGGCCGGCACGUUUACUUUGAACAAAUUAGAGUGCUUAAAGCAGGCUAAAAUUUCGCCUGAAUACUGUGUGCAUGGAAUAAUGGAAUAGGACCUCGGUUCUAUUUUGUUGGUUUUCGGAACCCCGAGGUAAUGAUUAAUAGGAACGGAUGGGGGCAUUCGUAUUGCGA
RNAcentral lists this ribosomal RNA (907 nucleotides) under Lemidia hilaris. RNAcentral describes it as "SSU rRNA". It matches the Rfam family "Eukaryotic small subunit ribosomal RNA", at positions 55 to 902 of the family's 1831-position model. The record is from RNAcentral. Lineage: Eukaryota; Metazoa; Arthropoda; Insecta; Coleoptera; Cleridae.